AUUGAACGCUGGCGGCAGGCCUAACACAUGCAAGUCGAGCGAGCGGCGGACGGGUGAGUAAUGUAUGGGGACUGCCCGAUAGCGGGGGAUAACUACUGGAAACGGUGGCUAAUACCGCAUACUAUCGGAUAACCCAUAUGGGAUUAGCUAGUAGGUAAGGUAAUGGCUUACCUAGGCGACGCGCCCUAGCUGGUCUGAGAGGAUGAUCAGCCCCACUGGGCCUGCGACACGGCCCAGACUCCUACGGAGGCAGCAGUGGGGAAGAUUGCACAAUGGGCGCAAGCCUGAUGCAGCCAUGCCUCGUGUAUGAAGAAGGCCCUAGGGUUGUAAAGUACUUUCAGUCGGGAGGCGUUACCGACAGAAGAAGCACCGGCUAACUCCGUGCCAGCAGCCGCGGUAAUUC
RNAcentral lists this ribosomal RNA (403 nucleotides) under uncultured bacterium. Its description in RNAcentral is "partial 16S ribosomal RNA". It matches the Rfam family "Bacterial small subunit ribosomal RNA", at positions 30 to 526 of the family's 1533-position model. The record is from RNAcentral.